AUAUUACACAUAUUUAUAUAUAGACAUAUUGUGCAUACACAUAUCGUGUUUACUAUUCUGAAGCCGAGUCCGGUUUGUGUACUAGCUGAGAUCCGUCAUAGUGAAACUUCCCCGCAGAAUUUGCGACCUCCUCCAGAAGAAAUCCACAUAAUUGUUCUUGUAUUGUCCUGAAAACUUCGGUAUCAACAAGUCUUUUCUUCUUGGUCAUCAUCUGUGUCAUUGGCAAAUGAAUUAGAAAUACUUAAUCUAAAUUGUUUGAACAAUUGAAACUUUUUGAAGUACAAGCAAAUUUGAAAUACUUAAUCUAAUUUUUCUAAGUAUAUACACUUGGAUUGGUUUUUUAAAGUACAAGCAAAUGGAUUGAAAUACUUAAUCAAAUUUUUCUAAGUAUAUACACAUGGAAUGGUUUUCGAAGUAUAAGCAUAUGAAUUGAAAUACUUGAUCUAAUUUCUCUAAGUAUAUACACAUGGAAUAGUUUUCGAAGUAUAAUCAUAUGAAUUGAAAUACUUAAUCUAAUUUUUCUAAGAAUACACAUGGGUUGGUUUUUUCAAGUAUAAGCAUAUGAAUUGAAAUACUUAAUCUAAUUUUUCUGAGUAUAUACACAUAGAUUGAUUUUUGAAAAAUAUACACAUGAACUAAUUUAUUGUUGAAGAAUAUACGUACGGUUAAAUGGU
Molecule: long non-coding RNA, 674 nt
Filed under: Setaria italica (foxtail millet)
Lineage: Eukaryota; Viridiplantae; Streptophyta; Magnoliopsida; Poales; Poaceae
Description: long non-coding RNA (SITA_LNC005632)
Source: RNAcentral